This 433-nucleotide ribosomal RNA is filed under the name uncultured bacterium. Its description in RNAcentral is "partial 16S ribosomal RNA". It matches the Rfam family "Bacterial small subunit ribosomal RNA", at positions 29 to 507 of the family's 1533-position model. The record is from RNAcentral.
AACGAACGCUGGCGGCAUGCCUAACACAUGCAAGUCGAACGAGACCUUCGGGUCUAGUGGCGCACGGGUGCGUAACGCGUGGGAACCUGCCCUUAGGUUCGGAAUAACUCCCCGAAAGGGGUGCUAAUACCGGAUAAUGUCUUCGGACCAAAGAUUUAUCGCCUUUGGAUGGGCCCGCGUUGGAUUCGCUAGUUGGUAGGGUAAAAGCCUACCAAGGCGACGAUCCAUAGCUGGUCUGAGAGGAUGCUCAGCCACACUGGGACUGAGACACGGCCCAGACUCCUACGGGAGGCAGCAGUGGGGAAUAUUGGACAACGGGCGAAAGCCUGAUCCAGCAAUGCCGCGUGAGUGAUGAAGGCCUUAGGGUUGUAAAGCUCUUUUACCCGGGAUGAUAAUGACAGUACCGGGAGAAUAAGCUCCGGCUAACUCCGUG